This 445-nucleotide unclassified non-coding RNA is filed under the name Hevea brasiliensis (rubber tree). The record is from RNAcentral. Lineage: Eukaryota; Viridiplantae; Streptophyta; Magnoliopsida; Malpighiales; Euphorbiaceae.
GAAGAUGGUUUCAUUGAUUUCUGGGUUUGAUCCUUGUAAGUCCGUACUGAUUGGAUCUGGGGUUAUGGGGCCUUUGGUUCGGGUCUUGGAAAGUGGCAGUGAAUUGGGAAAAGAGGCUGCUGCGAGAAGUUUACAGAAAUUGACCGAGAAUUCCGAUAAUGCUUGGUCAGUUUCAGCUCAUGGUGGUGUCACAGCUCUAUUAAAAAUAUGCGCUAGUGGUGAUUCUAGAGGAGAACUCAUUGGUCCAGCUUGUGGGGUAUUGAGAAACCUUGUUGGUGUUGAAGAAAUAAAGAGAUUUAUGAUUGAAGAAGGUGCUGUUUCUAGAUUUAUCAAGCUUGCAAGAUCAAGAGAUGAGGCCGUGCAGAUAAGUUCAAUUGAAUUCCUUCAGAAUAUUGCUUCUGGAGACGAAUCAGUUAGACAAAUGGUGGUGAGAGAAGGUGGAAUC